Molecule: long non-coding RNA, 7168 nt
Organism: Hemicordylus capensis (graceful crag lizard)
Lineage: Eukaryota; Metazoa; Chordata; Lepidosauria; Squamata; Cordylidae
Exons: 2
Source: RefSeq, a predicted model, not a curated record
UGCCUGGAAUCCAGGGCAUGAAAUGGUGGCAGACCUACCAGGAGGAGAGAAGAUAGUGCUCUUGCCAAUCAUUAGGCAAAGAAGAGGUGCAUUCUCAAAUCUCAUAGUAGCACUGGCUGAUUAGAAUCAAACAAGAGGUGACAUUGGGAGAUCCAGGACACUUUGGGAAAAGUUCAGCAGCAACCAGAGGCAGGAGGGAGAAACCCUGAUUAGGCUCCUGGAGCUUUCCCAGACAGCAAGGCUUUACUGCGAGUCUGAAUUUGCUCAAAAAACCGGACACAAAUAGUGGAUUUUUUUAAAAUCCUGGACAUAAAACGGGCAAUGCGCAGAGAAGAAGCCGGAUCAUGUGUGAAGUGCUCCCCAAUAUCUCACAAGGACUUCGGCUGCAAAUACAGCCAGUCAUGUGCAAACACACACACCCUCCGUUCCAGUGAAGAAGCAAGCUACAAGCCCCAUCUGGGAACGCUCCUGGUGCUGGGAGAAGUUAACCCUUCCCCCCAGGGCAUAUUCCUGAUGAAAACCCUGCCUGCCAAGCUUGCCAAAGGCUUCCAUCUGAAAUCCUCAACAGCGAGAGAAAUUAACCUUGGUCUCCUGGAUGCAGAAACAUGCCUUUAUUGUAAAUUCAUGCCCCAGAGAAACAAUUUUUUUUAGCAAAGUUCAGUCAGCCUUGCAGAGGUAAUGCCUCAUUAAUUUUUUUUUUUAAAUGGGAAACUAACUUUGCAUACGACACUGUGUGCAAAUUUUCAGCUGAACAUCUGCUUUGUAGGUAGUACUACUAGCAAUAUCAUCAAUAAUGCAGAAGUUAUCAAGGGCAGAUGACACAUAGGGUGCCCCACAAUCCAAGCUGAUUUUCAAGCCUCGUUUAUUUUGCAUUUCCAUAAAUGCAAUGGAACCAAGAGACUGAUGGGGAGGAGAGCUGGUCUUUCAGCAGCGAGCAUGAACUGUCCCCUUUGCUAAGCAGGUCCAUCCUGUUUUACAUUUGGAUGGGUGACUACAUGUGAGCUCUGUCAGCUGUAAGAUAGCCAUAGCUCAGUGGUUUGCAAGCAGAAGGCUCUAGCUUCACUCCCUGGCAUCUCCAGGUAGGGCUGGCAGAGACUCCUGCCUGAAACACUGAUGAGCCCCUGCCAGCCCAUGUAGGCAAUACUGAGCUAGAUGGACCAAUGGUCUGACUCAGUAUAAGGCAGCUUCCUAGGUUCUUAUGAUCAAAUUAUGCAUAGGCCAAAGGCAAGUCUCUAUAUCCAUUCUUGUCUAACCAUCGAUUUCUAAAACACAAGAGUAUACUGAUGACACACCCUUUUCCUGCCAGCAUCUCAUCCUGUGGUAACAAUGGAGGGGAUUAACCAGCAUUUAGUGUGUGUCUGGGAGUAGGUAGGAAUAAACAAGCUGAAACUUUCAGAUGCGGCAGGGGUAUUGGCCAGGAGUUCCUGUGAAUGGGAGCAGUUGUACAGCCUGUUCUAGAUGGAAUUACACUCCCUUUCAAGGAGGAGGUAUACAUCUUGGGGUUGGUCCUGGAUUUGGUGCUUUCUCUGUAUAACUAAGUGGCAAGGAUGGCAAGGAGUGCUUUUUACCAGCUGCAGUGUUUCUUGGAGAAAGCAGAUUGUCGGGAUGCCAUGUUACCUGGUGGCCUGUGUGGCCCUGUGGAGUCUGGAGAAGGGUGUGGCAUUCCUCCUGUGGGGCUUUUGUUAUCUUCAGGGGGCAGUGAGGAUGAGAAGGGUCCAGGGCGGUCAGAUCCUGGUGGGGUUGAGAGGGCAACGCAGGGAGAGCUGCAGGAAACAGCUCCAGGGAGACAGCUAGGUUGGGUGUGGCAGGAAACAGGAAGCAAGGUCAGGAAGGGGGCGGGGCUGGAAGUAGGCUUGAAGCCCUGUCGGCUCUGCAUUGGGGUAUUUAAAGACAAGGCAGCUGAUGAUGAGGGGCUGCUUCUGAGUAUGGGAGCCAGGAGUUAUCCAGGAGAGGGAACUAGCUGAAUGCAGCAAGCCAGGAGGAGGACUCAGGUGACCAACUAACCUCCUCCCCUGUCUGUUCCUGAGGCUGACCUUUUCUGUGCUAACCCAGUCAUUCUGGGAUUCAAGAAGGGCCAGGAGCCCACCUUGUCCCCUGGGAGUCUGACUACAAUUACCCAUGCACUAGUCAUUCCCAGGUUCUCGGUGUGGGGCCACCUUUAGAGUCCAGAAACUUCAAGUGGCUCAGACUAAUGUUGCCAGAGUUUGGUCUGGGGCUCAAAGAUUGGUCCAUACAACCCUGGUCUAGUAUCAUCUCCACUGGCUGCCUGAUUGUUUCCAGAUUGAGUUUAGUACCAGUUUGAACUUAUAAAGGCCAAGAAAGCUUAGGAUAUUUCAGGAACUGCCAGCUCUUAGAUGAACUUGCCUGAUGCUUAGUGUCAGAGGCUCUGCUCUCCAUCCCAGCCUUGUCAGGAGCGGAGCCAGGCUGGCGGCGGCCCAUGUGCGGCUGCCACCGCAGCCCCCUGGCCCCACCCCCCGUGUCUGAUGUUAGGCACAGGGGCAUGAUCUCCCUUCCAAAUGGGGACACGUGGCCUGAUUGGGAACAGCCUGGGUUCUUUGAACCCAUUCGCCCAAUGGUGGCUCAGCCCCUGACCCUUGUGCAGUAUCAGACUGACCUUGUGUGACAGAAGAAAGGGCCUUGUCAGUGGUAGUGCCAGGACUAUAGAAUGAGAGAUUAGCCUGGCUCCAUCUUUGAGUGUUGGGGGCCAUUUUUAAAGACUCUUGUUUCAGUAAGCCUUUAAAAACCUAUAAUUUAAAAUGUGCUAUCAUUUUAGUUUGUUGCCUUACUUUACUGAUCCUUUGUGAUUUUAUCAAGUGAUUUACAUUUUUUAAUUUGCAUGUUGUUAUAGAAGAGCAAGAUAAAAAACUAAACAGACAAAUAAAUAAAUAAUAAAAGUCAUAUGAAGUAAGCAGCCAAAAUGCUUUCCCCCUUUUAAGGCAACCAUCACGAUGCUGAUGUCCUGAAAUGUUCAGUUCAUUAGCCUUCAUCAUUUUCCAUUUUUGGUACCUAGAAUGGCCUCCCAAGAGAUCUAUUCCCUGCCUUUAGGUGGACCCUAAAAAACAGGACAAUUCUAAUAAAUAAUAUGCCAGUGGGCUUUUAAAAGAACUGGUUCUUUUUAACUGUGCCUGUUUUACUACUGUGUUCUAGUUAGACUGUUGCUUUUAAGUUCUUUUAGUUUAUUAUUCUGUUUUUGUGUUUAGAUUAUCAUCUGAUGUUUUUAAAUGCUGAAAGUAGUCUUGAUUUUAUUUUAAUACAGAAAGGAGGAGCAUACAUUAAAUACAUGAAAUACAAAGAAGCCAUUUCAUAUAUAUUAAAUAUUAUUAUUAUUAAAGUUAUUUACAUCCUGUCCUUCCAGUAGACUCAACAAAACACAUACAAUGUAAAAUAAAACAUUAAUAAAGUUAAACAAGUUAAAAGACCAGACUAAAACCACAUUUAAAAUUACAAAUUUUAAAAGUUUCUAAUUAAAAGUUAGUAAUAGAAAGCUAAAAACUGAGAACAAAAACUAAAAAACCUACCAGAUAUAAGCGGCAGAUAAAACAUUAAAUACAUUUCUGCAGCUGGCUCACUAGCAAACAAACAAGUGACAUGCCCAAACAGUGAAAUGGGGAGGAGGGGCUCACAAAAGAUCCUGGCUCUUCUGCCACGAUUUGUAGAGUUAUGACGAAUCAAGAGGCACACAGAAGUCUCACUGUGCUGACAUCACGCUAUUCAUAUGAGUAGAUCACUUGCAUGAGUAGCUAUUGAAGACAGCCAGCCAGCUCCAAUAACAUAUGAACUGAUUCAUCUGGCUCAGUACUAACAAUCCACAUCAAGAACAGAUUUCUAACUCAACGACACAGAGACCUUUUCCAGUUCUGUUACCAUGAGCUGCCUUAACUGGAGAGGCUGGAGACUGAGCAUGCGUACAAAUCACACAUGCUACAUCUCAGCUGCCCAGAUUUGGAAUCUCUGCAGUCCCCCUCACCCACCCCCUCCCCCCACCCCAGUGUUCUGGAAACAUUAUCCUCUGGCUUUUAGAUGGCAUCCAAGAUCAGCGGGCAGGGACUGUUUAAUCAAUUUCUAAAAGGCCACUCUUACCUUUCUUGAACUUAUGUACAGGAAGCUUCUUAAGCUGAUCUUUUUGAAGCCGAUUUCUUCUUGCUCUGUGUCUGUCCUGGACAAAUUUUGUGAUCUUGAAAAACACAGACAGAAAUUAAAUGUGGAAAUUCAAGACUUUUUUUUUUUUUUUAAGGCACAGAGUAUUUGCUUGUGUUCUGAAGACAGAAAACACAGUAAGCGUAACAGUCUAAGAGUGAAAAUGAGAAAUCUUUAUACACAUUCAUAACCAAGACCAACACUUCCAAAAGGCUACAAUGCUUCAUCCUCUCUGACAUCGUUGUAGUGCCCACUACACAAAGCAACUAAAAGCAAAAUUGAAGCUGCUCUAGGACAGCCAAUGAAUAAACUAUGCACUCUUGUCAACCCUAGAAGCAUUCAAGCAAGGCUGUAUUAAAACACAACAUUUUGUUUCUUUAAACAAUUCAAACACGUUCAGCACUUUAAAAAAGAAAAAGCCCAGUGGGUACCAAAUAUGAAACUGGAUAGAAACAGUUAUUAUGGAAGGAAGCACCGGCUACUGGACAAGAGCCACUUUUGACAUCUACUACUGUGUUGUAUUAAUGGUAUUUGCUGAGUUAGGUGUAUGUGCAUGUUUUACAUUAUUACCAUCUAUUGGUAAUAAGAUGGUAAAUUAUUGCCAUUUAUUUAAUAAUAAAGUGUAAUAUAUUAUUAAUAAUAAUUAUUAUUAUAAUAAUUAAAACAGUCAGACAGGUGUUAUUGACUGGUUUGUUUUACCCAGACAUUGAGUCCUUCCCAAGGACCUGGGAUGGCUGAAUUUUAUUAUCAAUAUCGUUGUUAUUAUUAUAGAUAUCAUUGCAAAAUAUAGGCUGUUCCCAGUAAAGUUGCUUUUUGUAAUUGGCUGAUGGUGAUUUCUGUGGCCCCUAUGGUGUUGACGUGCUCUUCAAGGUGUUUUGGAAUAGCACCUAGGGCGCCAAUUACUACUGGGAUGAUUUUGGUCUUCUUCUGCCACAGCCUUUCAAUUUCAAUUCGUAGAUCUUUGUAUUUUGUUAUUGUUUCUAUUUCUUUUUCUUCUAUUCUGCUAUCCCCUGGUAUUGCUAUGUCGAUUAUUUUGACUUGUUUUUCUUUCUUCUCGACUACAGUUAUAUCUGGUGUAUUGUGUGGCAGAUGUUUGUCUGUUUGUAGUCGGAAGUCCCAUAAUAUUUUUGCAUCUUCAUUUUCUACAACUUUUUAAAUUUUAUGGUCCCACCAACAAUAACAAUAACAAUAAUCAUUAUGUCUUCUUCUUGUUGUUACUGAUGUUGUUGUACGGAAUGGCCAGUGCAUAGAUGAGAAACCCAUGUAUGCCACCCUUGGGGACGAAGCCACAGCUCAGAGGCAAAGCAUUGGUAUUGCAUGCAGAAGGUCCCAGGAUCAAUCUCUGACAUUUCCAGGUAGGGCUGGGCAAGACUCCUGCUUGAAACCUUGAAGAAGCUACUACCAUUCGGUGCAGACAAUACUAAACUAGAUGGGCCAAUGGACUGAAUCGGUAGAAGACUGCUUUCUAUGUUCCUAAGGUGCCUUGAGGAUCUUUUGAUUGAACGCAACGGUGGGAUAUAAAUUGAAUUAAUAAUAAUACAUAGCAGUACUUGCAAACCUGGCAGGGACAUAUUAUGCUUUCUUCCCUGAGGGCCUCCUUCCUUGCCUUCCCAGGUGCUAUGUGGUGAGUUUUUAAGUGGCUGCUAUGCUGAAAAUUGUUAUCUGCAGCCAUCCUUUGUAGGAAGGUGCCAAAGCAGAGACUGGGAAAUUGUCUCUUUUCAGUGAUGUAAAGGACUGGCAAGCAUUCUGGUGAAACCAGGCAGUCUCAAGACAAGCUCAUAGCCAUGCACUGCACAGGGAAAUUCUCCAGAGAUGUGCAAUUCAAUGUUCUCCUUUGACUGUACAUAGAGUAAGCUUAUUCAGGCAGCAUCCCCAGGGAGAUCAGUGUUUUUAAAUAACAGGCAAGGCUUCCUCCGGGGAAGUUUAAAUUCUGUUGUGUUUGACAAUCUGUCUUUGGGAGCAUCAUCCUGUAGCUUUACCCUUUGAGGUCAGCAUAAUUUUUUACUACUUAUGUAGGAGAAUGACACAAAAUGAAGAAGUGGAUUUCUGAGGAAAAGAAACUUCAGGUGGCUAAAACAACUUAAUGAGCCCAAACCAUUCCAAGGAUGGCUGCUUAACUCUGAAAAUACACUUCCAUCUUGCCAUAAACAAAAUACAUCUGAAAAAAUAGUCACAUUUUACAAGUUAGACUUCAAAACGAGGCCUGCCCUCCAAAUUAGGUCCUUUAUAUGUGCAGAUCAACAUUCUUCAGUGAAAUGAAAGAACAUCUGCAGGUGCACAUCAGAGUUAAAUUUCUCUUGACAGGGACAUGGUGGAGCCUGGAUUUUAGUGUGUGUUUGUAUUUACCAAUUCACUUAGUUCUAGUAUCUAACCAUUAUUUUGGCAUCUCAAUUCUAGCCUAACUCUGCAACUAAAAAUCCCAGAGCAAUGAUUCACAAGUAGCUAACAAGAGCUACAAGUUCCACAGAAGUGCUUCCAAGACUACAUGCACCUAUCUUUUGAAGGACCUUUUGAGGAACUAUUGACUGGGGAAAUUAGGAGACCAAUAUUCUGAAAGCGAUAGGAACCUCUUUUUCCAAUGUAUACAUGGAGAAUAUUUAAAGACACAAGCAACCAAAUACCAGUGGCCUGGUUUUUCAUUAGAGGCUAUCCGUGUCAGUCAGGAGCGGUUGAGACAAUCAAUUGAUCAUAUAUUGCUUCACUGUUUAUUUUAUAGAUAUAUACGGCUAGUACUUUUGUCACCUAUUUUGUCUAGAUUCCCAGGUAGGCCAUCGGCCUCUUAUGUGUCUCUCCUUUUGUCUGACAGUGAUAUUAAUGUUUCCACCAAAGUGGCAAAAUUUUGCCACAUUGCAAGCUGUAUAAGAAAGCAAUUGGUAAAAUCAUGAGUGUUGACUGUACUAUAUAUUGCUAUAUUGUAAAAGGUGUUUUGUAAGAAAGUACUGGCAGAAUCAUGAUUGUUGGAGGUUACUACUUAUCUAUUGUGCUGAAUUUUUGUCUAGUCUAUGACCAAAAUAAAGAUUCCUUUCCAUUA